This 966-nucleotide ribosomal RNA is filed under the name Staphylococcus hominis. Its description in RNAcentral is "bacterial SSU rRNA". It matches the Rfam family "Bacterial small subunit ribosomal RNA", at positions 45 to 996 of the family's 1533-position model. The record is from RNAcentral. Lineage: Bacteria; Bacillati; Bacillota; Bacilli; Caryophanales; Staphylococcaceae.
UGCUAUAAUGCAGUCGAGCGAACAGACGAGGAGCUUGCUCCUUUGACGUUAGCGGCUUGACGGGUGAGUAACACGUGGGUAACCUACCUAUAAGACUGGGAUAACUUCGGGAAACCGGAGCUAAUACCGGAUAAUAUUUCGAACCGCAUGGUUCGAUAGUGAAAGAUGGCUCUGCUAUCACUUAUAGAUGGACCUGCGCCGUAUUAGCUAGUUGGUAAGGUAACGGCUUACCAAGGCAACGAUACGUAGCCGACCUGAGAGGGUGAUCGGCCACACUGGAACUGAGACACGGUCCAGACUCCUACGGGAGGCAGCAGUAGGGAAUCUUCCGCAAUGGGCGAAAGCCUGACGGAGCAACGCCGCGUGAGUGAUGAAGGUCUUCGGAUCGUAAAACUCUGUUAUUAGGGAAGAACAAACGUGUAAGUAACUGUGCACGUCUUGACGGUACCUAAUCAGAAAGCCACGGCUAACUACGUGCCAGCAGCCGCGGUAAUACGUAGGUGGCAAGCGUUAUCCGGAAUUAUUGGGCGUAAAGCGCGCGUAGGCGGUUUUUUAAGUCUGAUGUGAAAGCCCACGGCUCAACCGUGGAGGGUCAUUGGAAACUGGAAAACUUGAGUGCAGAAGAGGAAAGUGGAAUUCCAUGUGUAGCGGUGAAAUGCGCAGAGAUAUGGAGGAACACCAGUGGCGAAGGCGACUUUCUGGUCUGUAACUGACGCUGAUGUGCGAAAGCGUGGGGAUCAAACAGGAUUAGAUACCCUGGUAGUCCACGCCGUAAACGAUGAGUGCUAAGUGUUAGGGGGUUUCCGCCCCUUAGUGCUGCAGCUAACGCAUUAAGCACUCCGCCUGGGGAGUACGACCGCAAGGUUGAAACUUCAAGGAAUUGACGGGUACCCGCACAAGCGGUGGAGCAUGUGUUUAUUCGAAGCAACCGCGAAGAACCUUACCAAAUCUUUGACCAUCCCUUUG